This 429-nucleotide ribosomal RNA is filed under the name Fusobacteriota bacterium. RNAcentral describes it as "Fusobacteria bacterium partial 16S ribosomal RNA". It matches the Rfam family "Bacterial small subunit ribosomal RNA", at positions 355 to 776 of the family's 1533-position model. Lineage: Bacteria; Fusobacteriati; Fusobacteriota. The record is from RNAcentral.
UGGGGAAUCUUCCGCAAUGGACGAAAGUCUGACGGAGCAACGCCGCGUGAGUGAAGACGGCCUUCGGGUUGUAAAGCUCUGUGAUCCGGGACGAAAGAGCCUGAGGUGAAUAGCCUAAGGAAGUGACGGUACCGGAAAAGCAAGCCACGGCUAACUACGUGCCAGCAGCCGCGGUAAUACGUAGGUGGCAAGCGUUGUCCGGAAUUAUUGGGCGUAAAGCGCGCGCAGGCGGCUUCCUAAGUCCAUCUUAAAAGUGCGGGGCUUAACCCCGUGAUGGGAUGGAAACUGGGAAGCUGGAGUAUCGGAGAGGAAGGUGGAAUUCCUAGUGUAGCGGUGAAAUGCGUAGAGAUUAGGAAGAACACCGGUGGCGAAGGCGACUUUCUGGACGAAAACUGACGCUGAGGCGCGAAAGCGUGGGGAGCAAACAGG